GGCCGGGCGGCGUGCUAUACAUGCAAGUCGAGCGGACAGAAGGGAGCUUGCUCCCGGAUGUUAGCGGCGGACGGGUGAGUAACACGUGGGUAACCUGCCUGUAAGACUGGGAUAACUCCGGGAAACCGGAGCUAAUACCGGAUAGUUCCUUGAACCGCAUGGUUCAAGGAUGAAAGACGGUUUCGGCUGUCACUUACAGAUGGACCCGCGGCGCAUUAGCUAGUUGGUGAGGUAACGGCUCACCAAGGCGACGAUGCGUAGCCGACCUGAGAGGGUGAUCGGCCACACUGGGACUGAGACACGGCCCAGACUCCUACGGGAGGCAGCAGUAGGGAAUCUUCCGCAAUGGACGAAAGUCUGACGGAGCAACGCCGCGUGAGUGAUGAAGGUUUUCGGAUCGUAAAGCUCUGUUGUUAGGGAAGAACAAGUGCAAGAGUAACUGCUUGCACCUUGACGGUACCUAACCAGAAAGCCACGGCUAACUACGUGCCAGCAGCCGCGGUAAUACGUAGGUGGCAAGCGUUGUCCGGAAUUAUUGGGCGUAAAGGGCUCGCAGGCGGUUUCUUAAGUCUGAUGUGAAAGCCCCCGGCUCAACCGGGGAGGGUCAUUGGAAACUGGGAAACUUGAGUGCAGAAGAGGAGAGUGGAAUUCCACGUGUAGCGGUGAAAUGCGUAGAGAUGUGGAGGAACACCAGUGGCGAAGGCGACUCUCUGGUCUGUAACUGACGCUGAGGAGCGAAAGCGUGGGGAGCGAACAGGAUUAGAUACCCUGGUAGUCCACGCCGUAAACGAUGAGUGCUAAGUGUUAGGGGUUUCCGCCCCUUAGUGCUGCGGCUAACGCAUUAAGCACUCCGCCUGGGGGAGUACGGUCGCAAGACUGAGACUCAAAGGAAUUGACGAGGGGCCCGCACAAGCGGUGGAUGCAUGCGGUUUAAUUUCGGAGCAACGCGGAGAAACCUUACCAGGUCUUUGACAUCCUCUGACAACCCCUAGAGAUAGGACUUUCCCUUUCGGGACAGAAUGGACAGGUGGGUGCAUGGCUUGUCGUCAGUCUCCUGUCUGAAAUGGUGAGUUUAAGUCCACAACACGCAACCUUGAAUCUUAGUUGCCAGCAUUACAUUGGUCACUUCUUA
RNAcentral lists this ribosomal RNA (1132 nucleotides) under Bacillus pumilus. Its description in RNAcentral is "bacterial SSU rRNA". It matches the Rfam family "Bacterial small subunit ribosomal RNA", at positions 34 to 1143 of the family's 1533-position model. The record is from RNAcentral. Lineage: Bacteria; Bacillati; Bacillota; Bacilli; Caryophanales; Bacillaceae.